GGGCGGAGCGAAGAAGCAAUGAAUCUGAUCGGAACCUUUUCUCUUCAUAUUGACAGUUCCAUUGUUUUGUACUGGUUGUCGUAGAAGCCUCCUUUAGAAGAAUUUGUACACUCAUCCCUCAGAAUAUCAUGAGGUUUAAAUGAAGUCUACAAUUAAAGGACUAGAUAAAGGUUUAUUGUCAAUCAUCAGAGAAGGUGGUAGUCUUGAGUGUAGGGCAAAGACGACUCUUUUGAUUGGCAAGAGCUCUACUGAGAAAGAACCCGAUUCUAGUACUGGAUGAAGCUACAGCUAAUAAUUUCAAAUCAUUUUUAAUGCAAUUGAUUUAGACUGAUUAUGUCAUUUAAGAAGUAAUUUGUGAGCAGUUUAGUGAA
Amphimedon queenslandica is the source of this 371-nucleotide long non-coding RNA. RefSeq lists it as uncharacterized. The record is from RefSeq and is a predicted model, not a curated record. The transcript has 2 exons. NCBI's taxonomy places the organism in Eukaryota, Metazoa, Porifera, Demospongiae, Haplosclerida, Niphatidae.